GAAGUUGUUGGAGAAGUGGUAGAGGUAGGGCCAGAGGUAUCAAAAUUCAAAGUGGGGGAUAUAGUUGGAGUUGGAUUGCUUGUUGGAUGUUGCAAGACUUGCAGGCCUUGUAAGCAAGACAUUGAGCAAUAUUGUGCUAAGAAGAUAUGGAAUUGCAAUGAUGUCUACACUGAUGGCAAACCAACCCAAGGUGGUUUUGCUAAUUUCAUGGUUGUUGAACAAAAAUUUGUGGUGAAAAUUCCAGAUGGUAUGGCACCAGAAC
RNAcentral lists this unclassified non-coding RNA (262 nucleotides) under Hevea brasiliensis (rubber tree). The record is from RNAcentral. Lineage: Eukaryota; Viridiplantae; Streptophyta; Magnoliopsida; Malpighiales; Euphorbiaceae.